GGGCGCAACGGUCUCUGCAAAACCUUGGGAGAGAGCCCGAGAAGAGCGGUCGUCGGUAAAGAUAUUUGUGGCAGUAACAAAUAUUCAAAUGAGAACUUUAAAGGCUGAAGAGGGGAAAGGUUCCAUGUGAACGACACUUGCACAUGGGUUAGUUGAUCCUAAGGGUCGGGGGAACCCCAACAAAUAGCGGAUUUUGCACGUUCUCUGAAAGGGAUUCAGGUUAAAAUUCUUGGACUAGAAAGUGGCGGUCGACGGCAACGUUAGACUUCUACGUGCUAUGGACGUUGGCCUGUGGGCUCCCCAUUCGAGCCGUCAUAAAAAAAGACCAAGGAAUCUGACAUGUGUGCGAGUCAACGGGCGAGUAAACCCAUAAGGUGUAAGAAAGCUGAUUGGUGGUGUCCUCCCGAGGGGUGCACGGCUGACCGACCUUGAUCUUCUGAGAAGGGUUCGAGUGUGAGCAUACCUUUCGAGACCCAAAAGAUGGUGAACUAUGCCUGAGUGGGGAGAAGCCAGAGGAAACUCUAGUGGAUACCCAUAGCGAUACUGAUAUGCAAAUCGUUCUUCUGACUUGGGUAUAGGGCCCGCGACUGCUUUAUCUGGCCUUGCCAUGGAAUCAAGAGCUCCAAGUGGGCUAUUUUUGGUAAGCAGAACUGGAGAUGCGAGAUGAACUAAAAGCCGAGUUACGAUGCUAAAUUGCACGCUAACCUAGAUCCCACAAAAGGUGUUGGUUGAUUAAGACAGCAGAACGGUAGACAUGGAAGUCCAAAUUCGCUAAGGAGUAUGUAACAACUCUCCUGCCAAAUAAACUAGCCCCGAAAAUGAAUGGCGCUUAAGUGAGCGACCUACACGCGGCCGUCGAGGAAAGUUCCAGGCCCCGAUGAGUAGGAGGGCACAGCGGUUGCUGUAAAACCUUGGGCAAGAGCCUGGGCAGAGCGACUGUCGGUACAGAUAUUAAUGGUAGUAGCAAAUAUUCAAAUGAUAACUUUGAAGGCCGAAGAGUGGAAAGGUUCCUUGUGAACAGCACUUGCACAUGGAUUAGUUGAUCCUAAGGGUCAGGGGAACACCGACAGAUAGCACAUUUCACGCGUACUCCAAAAGGGAAUCGGGUUAAAAUUCCUGGAUCGGGACGUGGUGGUUGAAGGCAAUGUUAGGAAGUCGAGAGACGUCGGCGGGAGCCUCGAGAAGAGUUAUCUUUUCUGUUUAGCAGCCUGCUAACCUUGGAAUCAGCUCAGUCGGAGGUAGGGUCCAGUGGUUGAAAGAGCACCACACGUUGCGUGGUGUCCUGUCCACUACUGGUGGCCCUUCAAAAUCCAGAGGACCAAAUGCCGUCCACGCUCGGUCGUACUUAUAACCACAUCAGGUCCAAAAGGGGAACAACCUCUGGUUGAUGGAAUAAUGUAGGUAAGGAAAGUCGGCAAAAUAGAUCCGUAACUUCUGGAAAAGGAUUGGCACUGAGGGCUGGACAUGGGGGUCCUAGUCCCGAACUCGUUGGCUGUCGGUGGACUACUCGAGCUGCUCCCGCAGCGAGAGCGGGUCGCCGCAUGCCGGUCAGGGGAUAUACUGGGAAUGGUUCCUUCGGGGGCCUUUCCCGCGCGUCGAAUAGCCAACUCAGAACUGGUAUGGACAAGGGGAAUCCGACUAUUCAAGUAAAACAAAGCAUUGUGAUGGUCCCAACAGAUAUUUACGCAUUAUGAUUUUUUCCUAGUGCUCUGAAUGUCAAAGUGAAGAAAUUCAACCAAGAGCGGGUAAACAGCAGGAGUAACUAUGACUCUCUUAAGGUAGCCAAAUGCCUCGCCAUCUAAUUAGUGAUGCACAUGAAUGGAUUAAUAAGAUUCCCACUAUCCUUGUCUACUAUCCAGCGAAACCACAGCUAAGGGAACGGGCUUGGCAGAAUCAGCAGGAAAAGAAGACCCUCUUGAGCUUGACUCUACUCAGACUUUGUGAAAUGACUUGAGAAGUGUAGUAUAAGUGGGAACCGAAAGGCGAAAAUGAAAUACUACUACUUUUAACAUUAUUUUACUUAUUUUGUGAAUCAAAAGUGAGGCACUACCCAUAUUUUUGGACCCAAGGCUCGCUCUGCGGGUCGAUCCAGGCAGAAGACAUUGUCAGGUGGGGAGUUUGGCUGGGGUGGCACAUCUAUUAAAAGAUAAUGCAGGUGUCCUAAGAUGAUCUCAACGAGAAUAGAAAUAUCGUAUGGAACAGAAAGGUUAAAGAUCUUUUGAUUCCGAUUUGUAGUACGAAUACGAACCAUGAAAGCGUGGCCUAACGAUCCUUUAGACCUUUGGAAUUUGAAGCUAGAGGUGUCUGAAAAGUGAUACCACAGGGAUAACUGGCCUGUUGCAACCAAGCAUUCAUAGCAUCGUUACUUUUUCAUCCUUCGAUGUCGGCUCUCCUAUCAUUCUGAAGUAGAAUUCACCAAGUGUUGGACUGUACACCCACCAAUAGGGAACGUGAGUUGGGUUUAGACCGUUGUGAGAUAGGUUAGGUUUACCCUACUUAUGAUAGUGUCGCAGUAGUAAUUCAACCUAGUACGAGAGAAAAUAUUGAUUCACAUAUUUUUUCAUCGCGCUUGGUUGAAAAACCAGUGGUGCAAAGCUACCGUGUACUGGAUUAUGACUGAACGCCUUUAAGUUAGAAUCCAGGCUAGAAGAGACACAUGCGCCCACUGUCCGCUUGACAAACCAUAGUAGGGGCCUCGGCUCCCAAGGGCACAUAUCGUUUACUAAGCCACUACGGUGGAAGAGUCACGGUGGCCGCCUUGAAGUAUAAUUUCCAUCAAGCGGCGGGUAGAAUCCUUUGCAGAUAACUUAAAUAUGCGAUGGGGUAUUUUAAGUCGAAGACGGGUCUUGAUUCCACGAUCCACUGAGAUUCAUCCCUUUGUCACUCUGGUUCGU
This 2894-nucleotide ribosomal RNA is filed under the name Capsicum chinense (habanero). Its description in RNAcentral is "eukaryotic LSU rRNA". It matches the Rfam family "Eukaryotic large subunit ribosomal RNA", at positions 428 to 3401 of the family's 3401-position model. Lineage: Eukaryota; Viridiplantae; Streptophyta; Magnoliopsida; Solanales; Solanaceae. The record is from RNAcentral.